This 379-nucleotide ribosomal RNA is filed under the name uncultured organism. Its description in RNAcentral is "partial 16S ribosomal RNA". It matches the Rfam family "Bacterial small subunit ribosomal RNA", at positions 526 to 896 of the family's 1533-position model. The record is from RNAcentral.
GGGGGGGAGCAAACGUUUGUUCGGAUUUACUGGGGGCGUAAAAGGGGCGUGUAGGCGGCUUGACAAGUGGUGUGUGAAAUCCUCUGGGCUCAACCAGAGAACUGCGCUCCAAACUGUCGAGCUUGAGAUUGGUAGAGGUAACUGGAAUUCCUGGUGUAGCGGUGAAAUGCGUAGAUAUCAGGAGGAACACCAUUGGCGAAGGCGAGUUACUGGGCCACAUCUGACGCUGAGGCGCGAAAGCUGGGGGAGCGAACAGGAUUAGAUACCCUGGUAGUCCCAGCCGUAAACGGUGAACACUAGGUGUGGGGAGUAUCGACCCUCUCCGUGCCGCAGCUAACGCAUUAAGUGUUCCGCCUGGGGAGUACGGUCGCAAAGGCUG